CAACACUUUUUCAUUUUCUUAGAAACACAAAUAUAGUCUUUUUGAGACUUAACCUCACAACUUUUUCCAUUUCAUUAUUACAUCAGAAAACUCUCUUUGCUAUUUCUGUAACCGACCUUCAUCUUCCACCUUUGCUAUUUCUCUAACCGAGCUUCAUAUCCCACCUUCCUCCGUCUUCAACCUCUGCGUUUCCCGAUUUUAACGCUCUGAAUCUACAUGGCUCGAUCGAUGGAGAAAGUUAUGGACAUUAACGACACCAAGAAUCGAUUUAUGGUUUGAUUGUGUUGGCUCACGCGGAAAGGGGGGAGAUGCGCGGAAAAGGAGAUUGUUUCUUCCUUCUCUUUCUGUUUUUGCAGCAAAAUCUGUAGCGGCAUCAACGGGUUACCGACGAUUAGUGUGGUGGUGGUGGUGGAAAUGGGUUUCCGACGACGAGUGUGGUGGUGGUCCGAUUCGAAAAGGUUUAUGUAUGACAUUUUCAAUUUAGGUUUCGUUAUUAACUUUCUUUUGUAGAAAGUGCAGGAUGUGAACUAAUUAUUAUAGAUUUUAUAUUAUUAUUAUAGAUCUCAAAACUCACUCAUUUGGUGAUGGAUUUAUCUUAUGUGUUCGAUCACGGUGGCCGCCAGUGAUUAAUUAGAAAUAAUUUUGGUUUCAACCUUUUUUUUAAUUUGCUCUGUUAAUAUGAUUGCUUUGUUAAUAUGGUGAAGACAUAUUGGUCGACAUAGACGCUUCUGAGAAAAAACCAUAUUGAUACAAUAAUUUUAUUUUUGUCGGUCUUUAUGAUACAAUAUUUCUCAACUUUGAUAGUUCUUUUUGGAAUGGUCAGAGAUGAAUGGUUGGAGCAGCUGUUGCAAAACAAUCUAUCCUCUUGCUGUUUGUUUUUACUUCGUCUACUUCUUCUCUGUUCCAUGUGUAUUUUAGUUGUGCAGGUUGUCGUAAUUGUCGGUGAAAAUGUGUAUAGGGAACGGGUGAUGGAAACGUUUGAGAAGGAUCUUCAUUUACCGGUUGUUUGUGUUGAUGCUGUAAAUUCAACCGGUUGUUUGGCAUGCAGUAGCUUCUUUGUCUGGAUAUUGGACAAUCAAGACAGCAGGCUAUUAGGAAUAAAGUUAAGUCGACUCCAGAUAAACAAGAAGCGCCAAGUAUUAGAGAGGGUUCCUCGUGCUGAUUUGGUUUGAAUCGUGUCUCUAUUGGAGUACUGGAAGGGGAAGGGUGGAUUGUUCAGUAAUAAAUCACCUUUGGCUUUGAGAAAUGAUUCUGAUUAUCUUCAAUGGUUGUAUCUGCAUCAACAAGCCUGUUCAAGAUUUUUCUAAAGUACAUAACCUUCAUAAUUCUUCUGAAGUGGUUUUGGGAAGAAUGUUAGUGUUGGUUCUGUGACUGUUCCACCUUCUGCAAUUCUAGUUGCAGCAAUGCCAGUUUCUGCUCCUGUUCUUGCACCAAGAGAGUUUCUUCACCAAAUUUGUCCACAACUGUUACAUGGUAGGAAGUAACUCUAAUCUAUUUAUACUUUAUAAUGAAAAUGCUCAGAUGGUAUCAGUACUAUCAUGUCAUACUAAUACUAUUGUACUGUUUUGUCACAAUGUUUACAUAUAAUUUAAAAACGAUCUCCUAUUUUUGUAACUGUUAGUUUGAUUUUGUGUAUGUGUGAAGGUGCAUAUGUAAAGUUAUAUAGAGUUGUUAGCUUAGGUUUUUUUGGUGCUCGAUUUGUUAUGUGUUUGCUGGCAGCAAGCUUUGUGUUUUGGUUUGUAUGGCGCAGGUUCGGCUUAUGAAGCUGGUGCACCUGUUAUUGCGGUUCCUGAUUCGGUCGAGAGUGAUGGGAAUUCAUUGUGUUUUUCAUUGUUUCAUUGUUAACCUUUCUUUUUCUUCAUUGUGUUUUUCAUUGUUUCAUUGUUAUGCUUUUUUGUUUAAUGUAAUUUUGCAUGUGUAUUUCUGAAGGUUUGGCUUUAAUGGGUUUGUUGUGGUUUAUUUAUUCUUCUAAUAAAGCUGCUGCAAAUGAAAGGAUGUGUUGUGAGUUGAAGCGGUUAAAGCCAGCGUUGUCUCCUUCUCUAUCUCCAGUUUUGACACGCGAUUCCCAACCAGGGAACCACACCAUGAAUCACUUAACUGUUGGCACUGAAGAUUCUUUUGUGAGCUUACUUAAGCUUGCUGCUAAUAAUGAUGUUGAAGGAUUUCAUUACACUUUUUAACUGUGCGUCUCUCAUUACUUAGGACUUGGAAGAAACAGCCGCAAUAAACUCAAUGACUCACUCCGCGAACCACUAUAAGUUCACUCACUGUAACAGGCGAGUCUUCUGGUUCCCGUCAUCGCACCGCCGUAACCUCAAGAAGAUGUUUGACAAAUUGUACCAGUCACGACGGAUAGGAAAACUGUUGAUUUAGAUCAAGGUUGGGCCUAUAUGCAGAAUGGGAUUACAAAAUUGAAGAGAAUUUUGGAAGGAUCACUAGAAAAUUUCACUUCAGUGGAAUGCAUAAUGUUGUACAUAAGUCACCACUUGACAAUUCACAUGAACUGUAUGACAGAUACAAGAAUGUUUUUGAGCAAUACAUUACAUCAACUAGAUAAGCAUGACGAAUUCAUGUUGAGGGACAGAGAUUUGGUCAGUCUUUUAUUGUUUAGAUCCACUUUGAGUGUAUCUUUAUCGAUACCGAGCAGCAGUUUUGAUGGACAACCAUAAGGAACAGGAAUCAGUAGCUGAGCUAUCACACACAAUUGCAUUUAAAGUUGAUUUGCACCUCUUACAUCUCCGUGCAUCAUUCCAUGAACACAAAGGAGAUGUCCUAAGUGCGUUAAGAGACUGUUGUGUUACACUGUCAAUGGAUCCAAACUUCCAAUAAAUGUUGGAACUUCACACCCGUGUUAACAGCCACGAAUCGUGAGUUGAGUUCAGGAAGUAAGAACAGCGUUUGUACAAUCAUCAGCCGUCAUGAAAACUAAAUUUGUAAAUGCAAAGUAUAGUUGAAAUGAAUGAUUAGAGCCACUUGUAGACUGUGUUGUAAUGAUCAUGUGAUGAUAUAAUUUUCCUUUCUAAAGAGGGGAUGCCUAAAUUUUGUAAUUUAUAUACUUGCUAUCUUUUGAAAAUGUGUUAUGAAUACCAGAUACAUGUACCUUAUUACU
Molecule: long non-coding RNA, 3109 nt
Organism: Vicia villosa (hairy vetch)
Lineage: Eukaryota; Viridiplantae; Streptophyta; Magnoliopsida; Fabales; Fabaceae
Exons: 11
Source: RefSeq, a predicted model, not a curated record